Acanthosepion pharaonis is the source of this 95-nucleotide non-coding RNA. NCBI's taxonomy places the organism in Eukaryota, Metazoa, Mollusca, Cephalopoda, Sepiida, Sepiidae. The record is from the annotation of a GenBank genome assembly.
GCGGUGAAAUGCAGGUUCCCGUACGAUCACCGAAGUUAACUAGCAUCAAGCCUGGUCAGUACUUAGAUGAGUGACCGCAUGGAAAUACUAGGUGU